UUUCUGGGUUUCAACCAACAUUCCGGAGUCUGCCUUGACUCCAUACUUUGACUCUCCAUUGGUAAUUGUAUAUAUUUAAUCUUUACCUUCCUUUCACGUUUUCUUAUUCUUUGGUUGUGAAAUAACUGUUCUAUGCUUGUUGACCACGUUUUUAAUAAGUGGAUUGGCGGUUAUGCAUGGUUCAAAGUAGUGGGCAGGUUGUUGCUAUUUUUCAGGAACCAUGAUCUCGUAACCAACAUUCCAAGGCUGGUCGACUAGCAGUUUUUGAAGACGGAUUGCAGCAGUUAUAGGAAGGUUCUGAAAGUGGGAAGUGGAUGAAACCAACCACGACAUGAAGACCUAUAAAUGCAGCAAGAAGCUUCAAUCAUUCUUACAUUUUGGAAGUGCAAAAUCAGCGACUUAACAUUCACUCACAGCCAACUCGUCAUUUUCCUGCUGCAAACGUGUCACCGGUUCUUCAAGGAUUGCUUUGACGAAGUAGACUUAGGCAGCCAAUCUGUAAAGUCUAUCUUUGUAUCGACGGGACGUCGAGAGCAAGAUUUGAAGUGCAAGGUCAUUGGAACGUAGCAGGUUGUUUGCUUUGUCCGAUU
RNAcentral lists this long non-coding RNA (590 nucleotides) under Salvia miltiorrhiza (redroot sage). RNAcentral describes it as "long non-coding RNA (SMIL_LNC014060)". The record is from RNAcentral. Lineage: Eukaryota; Viridiplantae; Streptophyta; Magnoliopsida; Lamiales; Lamiaceae.